UAGCAAGAUUAACUUUUUUAUUAAUUUUCUCGAAGCCUAAGGAGUUACUUUAUUACUGUUUUUAGAUAGAAAAUGUAAAUGUAGCAAAAUUUUAUUUAUAUUAUAAAGUAGAAAUGAAAUUUUUUUCGUAUUAGGAGAUAGCUAGUUUCGACAGAAAUAUAUUUACGUAUAGGUAAUCAGUGGGAGUUAAGCUAUGAAUAACUUAGGUAAUUUAUUGAUUUUUCUGGCCUCUAGAAGGGUGAGCUUAUAGGGGAAAAAUUGUAGUGUAAGGUGAAAGUUUGCUAGCAUCUAAGCUUGAAAUUAGCUAAGAUUAGAAGCUUGUUUUAAAGUAUUAAUAUACUGUUGUGCAUUGCUUAAGUUAGGUUGAUAAAUAUCUAAACUAAGAGGUGUUAUAUUUAUGCUAAAAUGAGUAUUUUGUAGAUAAUUAAAGACUAAAGUUGAUUGUUUAAUUAGGAAUAAUGCGUUAAUUUUAAAUGUGAAAAAGGAACUCGGCAUCUAUGUUUCGCCUGUUUAACAAAAACAUGGCUCUUUG
RNAcentral lists this ribosomal RNA (532 nucleotides) under Cyclotus taivanus diminutus. Its description in RNAcentral is "partial 16S ribosomal RNA". The record is from RNAcentral. Lineage: Eukaryota; Metazoa; Mollusca; Gastropoda; Architaenioglossa; Cyclophoridae.